Molecule: ribosomal RNA, 422 nt
Filed under: uncultured bacterium
Lineage: Bacteria
Description: partial 16S ribosomal RNA
Rfam family: Bacterial small subunit ribosomal RNA
Source: RNAcentral
UAUUGGACAAAGGGCGAAAGCCUGAUCCAGCCAUGCGCCGUGAGUGAAGAAAGCAUUCGGGUUGUAAAGCUCUUUCGGACGGAAAGAAAUCGCACCGGAUAAAAACCUGCGCGGAUCACUGUACCGCAAUAAGAAGCACCGACUAACUACAUGCCAUCGGCCGCGGUAAUACGUAGGGUACGAGCGUUAAUCGGAAUUACUGGGCGUAAAGCGUGCGCAUGCGGUUGAUUAAGACAGGCGUGAAAUCCCCGGGCUUAACCUGGGAACUGCGCUGGUGACUGGUCAGCUAGAGUACGGCAGAGGGGGGUGGAAUUCCACGUGUAGCAGUGAAAUGCGUAGAGAUGUGGAGGAACACCGAUGGCGAAGGCAGCCCCCUGGGCCGAUACUGACGCUCAUGCACGAAAGCGUGGGUAGCAAACAGG